This is a small nuclear RNA of Camelus dromedarius (Arabian camel), 107 nucleotides long. NCBI's taxonomy places the organism in Eukaryota, Metazoa, Chordata, Mammalia, Artiodactyla, Camelidae. The record is from Ensembl.
AUGCUCAUUUUGGCAACACAUAUACUAAAACUGGAAUGAUACAGAGAAGAUUAGCAUCGCCCCUGCACAAGGAUGAUUUGCAAAUUCGUGAAGUGGUCUAUAAAAAA